This is a non-coding RNA of Oryctolagus cuniculus (rabbit), 10023 nucleotides long. The record is from RefSeq and is a predicted model, not a curated record. Lineage: Eukaryota; Metazoa; Chordata; Mammalia; Lagomorpha; Leporidae.
CUAGUCUUUUCAUCUUAGCAGGCAAGUGCCAAAGACUUCAGCACAGCACUUUGUACAGCGAAGGGUUAUUCAAAAGACUAUGAUCAUAUUGAACUUGGAAACUUUGAGAAAGCCAUUCUCUAAGAUCAGCCAGAUUUUGUGGUCUUUCAAUUUAUUUUCUUUUGUUUUCUCAAAACUUGUCAAUGUAGUUUUUUGUGUGUAUGUGUGUUUAAGAUGUAUGUAUUUGAAUGUCAGAAAGAAAGAAAGGGAAUGAUAGAUAGAUCUUUACUCAUGAAAUGGCCAUAAUGACCAGGUAUGGGCCAGGCCAAUGCCAGGAGACAGGAGCUUCAUUCAGGUCUCCUAUAUGGGUGGUAGAGGCCAAGGAGGUGGCCAUCUUAUGCUGCUUUCCAAAGCUCAUUAGCAGUGAGCUGGAUCUGAUGUGGAACAGGCAGGGCUCAAACUGGCACCCACAUGGCAUUGCAGGCUGUGUCUUGACCCAUUACAUCAUGAUGCCAUCACCAACAAAACCUUGGAAGUCUAUCACAUUGCAUUAGCCUAAAUUGGAAGUAAAGCUCUUUCACCUAUGGGAACCUAGCCUCUGUUCUUGGCAUGAACAUUUGAUUCCCUAGUUUUGGCAACAUCAUUACUAGAAGGACAUCUGUGGCAUCCUAAAGUCACAUCACAGUAUAGAACAAGGUCUAGUGAUAGAGGGGUUAAAGAUUAGUGUUUUAAAAAUUUGGUCAUGUUUCAAAGAGAAAAAGAUUUGACCCUGGAAGAAUGCAUUUCCCAUGACACUCAUGCGGCUAAUUUGGCAACAUCGGAAUUCAGUCAAAUCAAUUGUGCAGUGACAUGGAGAACAUAUCUCUAGCUUGUUCAAGCACAUUUCAUCUUCCUAGCAUCUGUGUUAACCUUCUGAGAUUCAGGAUAAAAUGAUCCGAGUGAUUUCAGGAAGCUCUUCAUUUAUCUCUUAUUUUGCUAAGACUGACUGGAAGGGCUUCCCAGAAGUCGGGAUGAUGACAAUGUGCUCAGACGUGUGUUUAGUAUCCUCUCGUCAUCUCACUUGCUCCAAUAUGAGCCAUAUCCACGCCAUGGAACCUUUAUGCAGAGGCAAUAGUGGAGCCUGGCAAAUAGCAACUGAAAAACUAAAGCAUUCAAAUCACACUUCAGAGACAUUUCUCCUUGGCCUUUAACAUGCUGCUGCUGAGACAGCUUUUGUCAUCUCCAUUGGAGGCUCACGAUAGGCACUGAGUGGUCAGCAAAAGAUUAAUAAGACCAAAAAUGAGAAACUGGAAUGUUUCAAGCUAAAGCCUUACAUCCAGGCCCCAUUUGUAAAGGGAAAAAAGUGGAAAUAAAAAUUGCAUUAAAGAGAACAGGCGGUUUCAUAGCAUGGUGAACCAAGGCAAACAAAACUCAUGGCGUUGGCACAGAAUGCACUCUGAGGGAGGGGAAUUCAUGUUUUUUCCUUGGCUAUAGAUCAUUUGUGUCAUCCACUGCUGAUUGAUGUCCAUGCCUCUUUGUAACAGUGAGAGUUAAUUUUAUAUAUCCACUGCACUGGGCCAAAGGGUGCCCAGACUUGUGGCCAAACAUUAUUCUGAGUGUGUUAGGCAGGAUAUUCUUGGCUGAGGGUAUACAUUUGAAUUAUGGACUCAGAAAAACAAAUUGUGUUCCCCAACAUGGUUGAGACACUGUCAUCCAGUCAGCUGAGGGCUUGAGUGGAACUAAGGUCCAACCCUCUGGGGAUUGAGAGGGAACGUCUUCUGCCCAUGUGCUCCAGACUACUAGUUCCUUGUGGUCUUCAGAAUCAAACAGAAAAUCUGCCACUGUCCCAGUAGGAACUAUACUGCCGCCCUCCAGAUUCAGAAUGGGACUACGCCAACAGUGUGCAGGUGCACGCACACACACACACACACACACACACAAGCUCUGCCCUAGAGCUGGCCUGUACAUUUUAAAGCAGGACAAUGAGUGGGAAAGGACAAUGGGACAUUUCUCAGCUUUCACAAAUUUCUUCCCUUCCUUGGCUUCUUCUUUGUUGUCCUUCCUCCUGACAGAGGGUUUAUGUUAAUUUGCAUAAUGACCUUCAACAAUAUCUCUGUUUUCAUCUAUUUUUUCACCAUAUAGCUAUAUGUUUUAUGUAGUCCAGAUGUCUCAAAGACUUAACAUUGUACACAAUAUUGUCAGUAGUAAAUGUGUCCAAAAAUAAUACCAUCACAGAUUUUUUUUCCAAAAGGAGAAUUAGAUCCAAACCAAACAGUGAUAUGGCAGACAUUGACCAGUUCUGAGGCUGGUAGAGGAAGGAAGGAAGUGAGGCAGGGAGGGUGGGAUGCGUUUGCUUCGUAUGAGCCAUGAGUUAUCUUGUGUAAUGUCAUUAAGGUGAAUAAGUAGUGCCAUAAGAUCUUACCUACUAGAGUUAAUAAGUCAGUGACAGUUGGGGACUUAUGCACAACUGACUGCUCCAUAAGGUAAUACUGUUGAAGAACUCUGACAGCCCAUGUGUUUGCCAGUGAGUCUGGACUAUUCAUAGUUUACAUUAAGCUAAACAUUCAAACUUUAAAGUAGAGCCCUGCUUCCUGAAUGAGUACAAGUAGAUCCAAACUCUGAUUUAAUUAUCAUCACCUGCCAUACCAUUUCCUGUGAUGAAACAGGAUUCUAGCACAUAACACUAUUUUUUUACACAUAUAUUUGAAAGUUACAGUUAUAGAGACAGAGACACACACACACAGAGAGAGAGGGAGAGAGAGAGAGAGAGAGAGAGAGAGAGUAAGCAAGAGCGAGAGAGCUCUUCCAUCCACUGGUUUGUUUACUCCCUGGCCAAAGCCAGGAUCCAGGAGAUUCAUCUGGCUCUCCUGUGUGGGUUCAGGGACUCAGGACCUGGGCUGUUUUCACUGUUUUUCCAGGCACAUUAGCAAGGAGCUGGAUUGGAAGUGGACUAUCAAGGACUCCAGCUGCCACCCACAUGGGAUACUUGCAUUGCAGGCAGUGGCUUAACCCACUAUGCCACAAUGCUGGUCCCAUAGAUUUUGUUCCAGGAUUCUAAAAAUAAAGAGGCUGUCAGUAUGAAGAAAGGGUAAUACUCAAGAAAAUGUGCUUACAGGGCCUUCACUUGGUUCCAUGUGUUUAUUCUUGAUGAUCAAAACCCCAACACAAACACUUACCACUUAGGAGAUCAAGAAUUCAGAAACUGCUUUCCUGGAUAUCAUUGAAUCCUCUAUGAUUUAUACCCAUAGAUAAGGAUAAUUGUAUAACUAAAAAUAAUUUGCAUGUAUCAAUAAAAUUCAUUUGUGGGCAGAUUUUUUCCUAGUAUAUCUAAGUUAAAGAUCAGAUUAUUAUAUCUCAAAUGAGUAUCAAUCCUUUCUUUUUCAGUCUAUAUACUAAAUUUUCAGAUGACUGAUGUCAUAUUUAUUUUAUAGAUGAGAAAAUUAAGUCUUAGGGUUUUGAACUAUUCAAGGUCAUCCAACUGAUCAGCAGAAAAACUGGAAUUUGAUUACAGAUGUGUUGGACUCCAGAAAGUGGUUUUUGAUACGUUCAUAUGGAUCCUGAAGUUAAACUCAAGCAUGAUCAGCAACUAAGGGAAGGACAAAGUCGAGGGCAAAUCAAGAUGAAAAAGUGGAGUCCUUCUGUCUGCCUCCCUCGCUCCCUCCUGCUCAUUAUCCUUCCCUCCCUGCCUCCAUCCCUCCCUCCCUUCCCUCCACCCUCCCUCCCUCUAUUCAUAAUGUAAACUCUAGCUUCCUUUUAGUACCAAACUGUCACUCAUAUUUAUUCAGUACAGUUCCUGGUUGUAAAUAACUCAGAAACGUAUCCUUUGAAUUGGGGGUAUUUUGCUUUUCCAUUUUUUCUCCCCUUUCCCUUCCUCAAGUUCUUUACUACCAUUCCUAUCCUUUGCCCACUUGACUAAACUGCUUGCCUCCCUUUUCCACUAAGCUUCAUCCCCCCAGAAAAUUCAUCGAGGACACCACUGACUUCUUAAGGUACUUAACAUGAGAAGAAACCCAGUGACCAACUGGUAUGUACUUAUUUUUGCUUGUUUUAUUUUUCCAAUGUAAGUAUAUAAAUGAUGUCUGUUGAUAAAAUAUUUUCCACCUAUUUGAAAAACACAACACUCAGUUCAUAAAAUCUGCUAAGGAAAUUCAGAGUAAUUUGUAGUGAGGGAUGAUUUUUUUUAAAAAAAUAUUUUAUUUAUUUGAAAGGCAAAGUAAGAGAGAGAGAGAGAGAGAUCUCCUCUGGUUCAUUCCCCAAAUGGCCUCAACAGCCAGGGCUUGGCUAGGCUGAAAUCAGGAGCCAGGAAUUUCAUCUAGCUCUUGCUCAUGGGCCCAGGGCCCAAGAACUUGGGCCAUCUUCCGCUGCUUUCCUAGGAGCAUUAACAGGGAGCUGGAUAGGAAGUAGAGCAGCUGAGAUUUGAACCAUGCCCAUAUAGAAAUGCUGUGGCUUUACCCUCUAUGUCACAAUGCUGGUCCACAGGGGUGAUUACUGACAUUCAUACGUUACUGGGGCAUCUCCUAAGUUGCCCCUCUCAAGGUCAACUCUCUGUUUGUAUUAUGGCUAUUACUACUGGGCUCCCCCUAGUUUAAUUUUUUUCUCUUUUCUCCUGGUAAAUUUCCAGUCUCCAAACUUUUUCAACGUACAGGACCUUGAAGGACUUCACUAAUUUGCAACCACAUUUGUUCCUCAUAAUAAUGAGGAAAAAACUUAGAAUUCUACUGGAAAAGAAGGAGUUUUGUGGUUUAUUUUUUUGGAAAGGGUUUUUCAUGUAUGAUAACAUAAUUUUUUAUUUGGAUUUUAAAAACACACAAAAUGUGACAUUCUACACAAUAACUCCCAAUGUAUUUUUUAUUUAAUUUUGCCAAAUGUACUGGGCUCAAAAUUGGAGGGCAAUUCAUUUUCUUUUCUUUCUUUCCUACAGCCAAGAUUGUUUUUACUUUGCUCAUACUCUGGAACCUUGUAUCUUGUUGAAAUGUAAUGGUGAUCUCACAGGUACUUUAUCAACAAUGAACUAGAGGGACUCAGCAGAGCUUCGGUUUGGAGUAAUACAUCAUAUUGUGAUUCUGAUUCCAAUAUUCCAGUGACUAUGGGAGGACCUACAGAUGAUAUACACAUCUCUCUUCUCAUCACACACCUGGUCCUGGAGUGGGAACAUGCAUGGAGGGUCACUUUUCCUCCAGCCUCACCAAUCAACAUCAGAGCUGUCAGAAUGGAGGAAGAAAAUGUAUGCUUGUACUCAUUAGGAAAGUUGGUGGAAACAUAAUUUUUAUGGUCUUUCUCAAGGCUAUUUAGUUGGAAAGGGCAAAUGUCUUCAGGAGUCUGUGUGUUUGUGUAUGCGUAUGUAUGUGUGUGUGUGUAUCAGCUCCUCACAAAUGCCACAAAACUGGCUGACUGACAAGACCAUAUUGUGAUCUUUGGAAAAAUUGGGCUUUAUUCUUGGCAAUAAGAGGAAGGCCAGGCUGGAGUUACCCUUCUGGCAUAAAAAUACCAACAGCAAGGCAAGAACAAUCACUGCAGCUUCCGGCUACCAAAUGGGACAGUUCAUCUAUGGAAACUUCAGGCCAGGAGACCCACUGACUGGAGACUCAUAUAGCAGCCCCAGACCACAGCUGGAGAGGAAGCCGGGCAACACAUCUCAGCUUAAGAUAAAUAGAAGCACUGAGCAUUUCCACAUAGAAUGGAAACUGCUUCUCCUCUAGAAAAGAAAAGCAGUAGCUGAGAGUGAGUGAACAUCAUCCACAGAGAGAAGAUCAGAGAAUGCCAAGAAAUGGAAAAGAAAAAGGGAAUUCCGCUCCGGUAUUAUCAUCAGCGGCUCAUUACUACUGAUGGUGACUUCUUCAGUGACAGUCACUUUGAAGUUUGAAAAGUGCUUCCUGGGACCAUGAAGAAUGCUCAUGGGGGAUGAGCAAAAGUCACUGCAACACCUUUGAACUGCUCCACAGUGAAACUCAUAAAAGGAACUCAGAUAAAAAUGAAGAAUGUUCAUACAACAAAGAAUACAGAAGAACAAGGGCAACAACAAUAAAUCAUAUAUAAUAACCUAAGGGAAUAAAGAGAAGGUAAGACAUGCAUAUGAGUAGGUUUGAUACUCAAGGAAAAUUAGGUGUUCUUGGAAAUCAAAAAUAUGAAACCAACUGAAAAAAUAAAUAGCAGUUUUGCAUACAAUGCUAAAAUACAUGACAAAAGACAAAAGCAAAAAUUAAAAAGGGGCAAGAGAAUUAGAUUAAUCCAUUAAGUAUGGAUAGAAAUAACAGAAAAAAUGGAAGGGUGUUAUCAAAUAAAUAAAUAAAGUUCCAUACUUGAGGAACAUUAAGUUCUAGAUUAAAGGUACCUGUGAACAUAUUCUGAAGUGGAUGAGGAAAACAGUUGGAAGCACUCUGGCCUUCUCCCACCCCGACAGGACAGGAGGAAUGAGGGUCACCCUGCCCUUUUAGGGUCCACUGAUAAGUUUUCACUUGUCAAACAGACCUUGUCACUAUCAAAAGCCCAGUUGCUAUCUCCCUUCUUCCUUGUUGUUGUUGUUGUUGUUGUUUUAAGAUUUAUGUAUUUGAAAGGCAAAGUAACAGAGAGAAUGAAAUCUUCCAUUCACUAGUUGGCUUCAACAGCCAAGUCUAGCACAGGCUGAAGCCAGGUGUUGGAAUCUACAUCCAGGUCCUACAUGAGUGACUAGGGCCCGACUACUUGAACUGUCUUGUUUUCCCAUGUGUAUUAGCAGGGAGCUGGGUUGGAAGCAGAGCAGCCAGGACUCAAACAAGCACUCUGAUAUGGAAUGCAGGCAUCACAAGCUAUGGCUUAAACUGCCACAGCUCAAUGCCCACCUCUUUCCUUCUUAACAGAUGCAUAAACCAGAUGGGUUUUUCUGCUAUGAUUUUGUUCCUAUCACUUAUAGCUAUAGUUCACAGGGAAUUGUCUUGUUAAAGUUGUUUUCUUAAAAAUUUAUGUAUUUAAUUUUAUUACUGGAAAGGCAGAAAAAUUGGGGAAGGGGAGAGAAAGAAAGAUACAGAGAGAUCUCCUGUCUACUAGUUCACUCUGUAAAUUCCCACAGUAGUCUGGGUUAGGCCAGGCUGAAGCCAGGAACUCAAUCUGGGUAACUCAUAAGGGUGGCAAGCACAAACCUCUUGAGUCAUCACCUGAUGCCUCCCAGGGUGCGCAUUAGCAGAAAGUUGGAAUGGAGGGUAGAACAGUGACCCAAUCCCAGGUGCUCUGGUAGUAUGAGAACACAUCAAACAGUGAAUUAUUGUGCCAGAACAACAGCUACACUUAGUUUUGUUGUAAAUGUUGUUGAUGAGUCUUCUGUUUCACUUUUCAACUUCCAUGUCUGUCUUUAUGUGAGAGCUUAAAAAUAUUUUUAAAAAAUUAUCCUGUGUCUCUAUUGUUCCAGAAUUUUCCAGUUUUUAAACUACACAUGUAUAAAUGAGAAGCUUAAAAUAGCAUUUAUUAGGUCACAGUUCUAUAUGUCAGAAGGUUUUUGUAUGGGUUUUCCUUUUGCCAAAGAUACCUCAAAGCUGAAAUCAACAACAUGUUUUGGCUGAGUUUUUCAUACAAAGGAUAACGGAGUGAAUCUCCUUCUGAACGCUGUCGACCUAACUCAUUUGCUCACUGUUGUGGGACUGAGGUUACAGUUUCCUUCCUGGCUGCCAACUGAGGGCAGCUAUCAAUUCCCGGCUGCCAUAUGUAUGCUUUGAUAAACAGACCCCUUCACCUGCAAGCCAGCAGUGGAGUAUUUGGUCUUUCUUACAACUUGAAUCUCUAGUUUUCUUUUCUGCAACAACUUAGGCAAAAAGUACUUGCUUUCAUGUGACUAUGUCAUGCCCCUGUGAAUUUUCUCCCUAUCUAAGGUAAACUGCAUAAGCCCAAUCAGAUCCAUCCUAUUUGAAGUCCCAGAUAUGAGGAAAGUUAUGUACACCAGGGGAAGGAGGGGGGAUAGAAAUUCUUGGAGAUCAUCCUAGAAUUCUGCCAACUGUAGUCCUUCCUCUGACUUUGGAAUCAAUGAAAAGUGAGAUAACGAAAAUUAUUAUCAAAGUGCCAAUUCUAUUUCUGAUGGAGUUGCUUAGAGAAUGUGGCCUCUGGACAAUGACUAAACAAAUAGGCGUGUGGGUACUCCUCAGUAUCAGCCCCUUUACUCUUCCUAUCCCUCAUAUCAGGUUCAAUUUCAGGCCUCCCUAAAGGAGAAAGAGCCUGACUUCAGAAACCACCUCAUAGCAGGCAAGGAAAGCAGAAUGUACCUUCUCUGCAGCCAGAAAGAUCUGAGACCAAUAGAAACUGCAUAAAACAAAAGAGCAGUAUUGAAAUUUGCUCAUUCAGACUUGGGUCUCCUUUCUCAAAACUUAUCACCUGGAUAACCUGGUUCUCCCACCCUGAGUAGAAAUGUGUAAAAUGCAGAGAGAGCUUGUUUACUGUAUAUCAAGUACCCUCAGGUGAAAAUGCAAGAAUAAGAAAAUGCAAUUUCCUGUUUUUCCUCUAACACCUAUCACUUUUGUCCAUCUGGCAUUCCUUAGACCAAAAUGCUCUUCUUCUGGAUCUAUACAUAACAAAUUCCUGAAUAAUUUAGGUGAAUUCAGAAUAUAAAUAUUGAGGUACAACAUAAAUUUUAGACAUUCUGACAGAUAUUUCCAUAUUAUCCAUAGCUAAACAAACAAUAGUUUUGUCCUUCAAAAGGCAAUAAACAAACAAAAACUUUGCAAUCUACUAGUAAGAUUGACCAAAAAUAUAAAUACCUAGAAUGAAAGUAAAAUACUUCCAUGCAAUGAAGACAAUGUAACAAAGAGCCCUGAGGGAAGGAAGUCAGAUCAUCCAAGUCAGAAUGGGAAGUGGUGGAAAUGGUGGGAAGUUGACAUGGCAGUCAUGAGAAAAGUUUGGAUAUGGGUCAUAACAAAGGAACUAAAGAGUAUAAGGUCCCCCUUCUAGUCCUGAAGGACUGGGUGUGAGAGUUGGGAGGCAACCGAGGGCUGUAUAUGACUCAGCCUGCUUCGUAACCCCUGCUCUGUUUAUCUCAACCCUUUAAAGGGACAUUGGUCUAUAGGAUAACUCUGGACUUCAGACUUUCAUAAUUUUAUAUUUUAAAAUGCGAAGAGGCUUUUCAUUCUAAAGCAGAAGAAAUAUAUUACAACUCACUAUUAUAAUAGGCCCCCUACCAUUUACAAAGAACCACACAGACUUCACAACAUGAAGAUCAUAGAAACUAUGGCACAUUAUUCUACGGGUGCCUUGAGCACAGCUUGUUCCACAAUGUGCACAUUAUUCUACUUUUCCACUUAAAUCUAUUCAGCUUCCUAUAUUCCUCUACAUUAUCAACAUUAUCAAAGGCAGGUCGUCCUACAAACUGGAACUCAAAGGGCCUUCCUUCAUUAUCACCAAUGGGUGAAAAAUCACUUUUUACUCAAUCUCUAAAAACUUCAUUGAUUCUAAAUCUGCCGUUUCAGCUCUACAUUCUUAAGACCAUUCACAUUUCUUAUUGAGAUUUAUUAAAGAUUACUUCCCAAAUUAACUUUUUGGUCCAAAUUUUGCAAUUUAUCGAGCCUUCAUUGAGCCUGAUACCAGGAUCUGUUAAAAAAUAGCAUAAUACUGAAAUCGGACAUGACCCCCUAAAAUUUACACUGAAAUGUGGCCCUUCAACGUUCCCCAGAUGUGCUAUCUGGGGUGCCACAUGUGCUACCAGAAUUUGGGGUGCUGUACAAUUUCACCAUAUGCUUAUUAAUAAAUCCCCAAUAUUAAUACGUCCAAGAAGGUUCUUGCCUAAUAUUUAGAGAAGAAUUCUAAAUACAGGCACAGAUAAAUGAGUCAGCAUGAUACAUUUUAGGCUUUUGUUUAGUGAGAAAGAUGCAUAGGAGAGUGAGAGUUUUAUUUAAGAGGGAGAGGUAAAUAGGGGUUCAUACCGAGCACCAGGAACCAGUCACGUGGAUGAGCAUCUAGGCCAGUAAGCCUAGAGCACAUGGCCUGAAGGCCAUGCGCCCUGGAGGCACAGGGCUACAGCAAGCCCUGUCCUGGUGAGAGGCCAGGGAAGAAGAGAUGGGCCGGGCCACACUGUGUCCUGGCUUCUAACCCACUUCCAAAGGGGAGUGGUUA